CCUACGGGAGGCAGCAGUGAGGAAUAUUGGACAAUGGGCGCAAGCCUGAUCCAGCCAUGCCGCGUGCAGGAAGAAGCAUCUAUGGUGUGUAAACUGCUUUUGUACAGGAAGAAACACUCCCUCGUGAGGGAGCUUGACGGUACUGUAAGAAUAAGGACCGGCUAACUCCGUGCCAGCAGCCGCGGUAAUACGGAGGGUCCGAGCGUUAUCCGGAAUCAUUGGGUUUAAAGGGUCCGUAGGCGGUUUAAUAAGUCAGUGGUGAAAUCUGGUCGCUCAACGAUCAAACGGCCAUUGAUACUGUUAGACUUGAAUUAUAAGGAAGUAACUAGAAUAUGUAGUGUAGCGGUGAAAUGCUUAGAUAUUACAUGGAAUACCAAUUGCGAAGGCAGGUUACUACUUAUGGAUUGACGCUGAUGGACGAAAGCGUGGGGAGCGAACAGGAUUAGAUACCCUGGUAGUCCACGCCGUAAACGAUGGAUACUAGCUGUUCGGAGNAUAUGAGUGGNGUAGACGAAGUAGAGUAAGUAAGUACCACCGUCGGGAGGUAACGGUUCGUCGAAGAAAGUAGAAACGUUAACGAAAGGAAAGUUAGUUACGGCGUUGAGACGAGCCGACGGACGACGACGAGGGGAGGAGGAG
This 639-nucleotide ribosomal RNA is filed under the name uncultured bacterium. RNAcentral describes it as "bacterial SSU rRNA". The stretch from base 1 to 536 matches the Rfam family "Bacterial small subunit ribosomal RNA", at positions 338 to 873 of the family's 1533-position model. The record is from RNAcentral.